UAUAUUCUUACGAACAUAUUCUUUCUAACCUAAUGUACGAUAUGUAUAAAAGAAUAUCGUUGUUACAAAGUAUCGAGUUUUGAUUUCGCGCGAUUUUAAUGAAAACAUAAUAUGUAUUAUAAGUUUGAUAUUUUGUUUCGAAUUAUGAAGUGUAUAAAAUAGUGAAAAUAUUGUGCAAUACUUCAAACGUAUUUCAAAUUGUUAUUAUAAGAAUGAGGAUCUUCUCGAUAUUCGAUUUCUCGAUAGACGACGGCCAUGAUGCUAUUCAUGGAAGACUAUAUUUGUAAGAAACGAAGAAUUCUUGUGCAACAAAAGAAACUCAAAUCAUACAUUUCUACAAUCUUCAAUUACAUAGUAGGGCAAAUAAUUGCAAGAUAUCAAGUAUAAUUGAAGAUGGAAGCUCGUCAUCUCGAAGAAAGGCUUUUACCUUCUAAACCAUAUUGAGUUUCAUCGAAAUAUCAACAUUCUCGUUAGAAUGCGGGGGUUCUCGUAAAAAGCACUCAAAGCACUCUAGAUGAAAUCGCCUGUAAACAAAUUAUAAAUUACUGUUCCCUUGAAUACAUCCCUUGAAUACAUCAAUACACGAUUAUGAAUUUAC
This is a long non-coding RNA of Apis mellifera (honey bee), 598 nucleotides long. RefSeq lists it as uncharacterized. The transcript is spliced from 3 exons. The record is from RefSeq and is a predicted model, not a curated record. Lineage: Eukaryota; Metazoa; Arthropoda; Insecta; Hymenoptera; Apidae.